CGGGUGGAUGACUUCGCAAUUUUAAUUCCAUUUAAGAUCUGACUGAAAAUUGCACAGUAUCCAUCUGUA
Molecule: microRNA precursor, 69 nt
Organism: Gadus morhua (Atlantic cod)
Lineage: Eukaryota; Metazoa; Chordata; Actinopteri; Gadiformes; Gadidae
Source: Ensembl